This 677-nucleotide ribosomal RNA is filed under the name uncultured bacterium. RNAcentral describes it as "bacterial SSU rRNA". It matches the Rfam family "Bacterial small subunit ribosomal RNA", at positions 63 to 775 of the family's 1533-position model. The record is from RNAcentral.
CGAACGGAGAAUUGCUAGCUUGCUAAUAAUUCUCUAGUGGCGCACGGGUGAGUAACACGUGAGUACCUGCCCCCAAGAGUGGGAUAGCCCCGGGAAACUGGGAUUAAUACCGCAUAAAGCAAUAAAGCAGCAAUGCGCUUGGGGAUGGGCUCGCGUCCUAUUAGUUAGUUGGUGAGGUAACGGCUCACCAAGGCGAUGACGGGUAGCCGGUCUGAGAGGAUGUCCGGCCACACUGGAACUGAGACACGGUCCAGACACCUACGGGUGGCAGCAGUCGAGAAUCAUUCACAAUGGGGGAAACCCUGAUGGUGCGACGCCGCGUGGGGGAUAAGGUCUUCGGAUUGUAAACCCCUGUCAUGUGGGACAUUAAAAGAUAGUACCACAAGAGGAAGAGACGGCUAACUCUGUGCCAGCAGCCGCGGUAAUACAGAGGUCUCAAGCGUUGUUCGGAAUCACUGGGCGUAAAGCGUGCGUAGGCGGUUUCGUAAGUCGUGUGUGAAAGGCGGGGGCUCAACCCCCGGACUGCACAUGAUACUGCGAGACUAGAGUAAUGGAGGGGGAACCGGAAUUCUCGGUGUAGCAGUGAAAUGCGUAGAUAUCGAGAGGAACACUCGUGGCGAAGGCGGGUUCCUGGACAUUAACUGACGCUGAGGCACGAAGGCCAGGGGAGCGAAAGG